AACGAACGUUGGCGGCGUGGAUUAGGCAUGCAAGUCGAGCGAAUCCCACUGCUGUAGCAAUACAGUGGUGGGGGAAGCGGCGCAAGGGGCAGUAAUGCAUGGAUAACCUACCCUGGGGACGGGGAUAGCUUCUCUAACGAGAAGGUAAUACCCGAUGACGUGGCCGGUAGACAUCUCUGGUCACCAAAUGAAUUUCGCCCUGGGAGGGGUUCAUGUGGUAUUAGCUUGUUGGUGAGGUAACGGCUCACCAAGGCCAAGAUGCCUAGCUGGUGUGAGAGCAUGACCAGCGCCACUGGGACUGAGACACUGCCCAGACUCCUACGGGAGGCUGCAGUCGAGGAUCUUCCGCAAUGGGCGAAAGCCUGACGGAGCGACGCCGCGUGUGCGAUGAAGGCCUUCGGGUUGUAAAGCACUGUCGAGGGGGAGAAAAGGCAACUUGAUCUACCCCUGGAGGAAGGACGGGCUAAGUUCGUGCCAGCAGCCGCCGUAAGAC
Molecule: ribosomal RNA, 493 nt
Filed under: uncultured bacterium
Lineage: Bacteria
Description: bacterial SSU rRNA
Rfam family: Bacterial small subunit ribosomal RNA
Source: RNAcentral